RNAcentral lists this unclassified non-coding RNA (385 nucleotides) under Hevea brasiliensis (rubber tree). Lineage: Eukaryota; Viridiplantae; Streptophyta; Magnoliopsida; Malpighiales; Euphorbiaceae. The record is from RNAcentral.
AAAAAAUAAUAAUAAUAAUAAUAACGAAUUGGUUUUUAUUUAUAGUAUAAUGAGUGAUUGAACGGAAAUAGGUUCAAAAAGAAUGCCAAAUCCUUUCCAUCUUAAUCUGAGAAAGUUUAAGUGUAGUAGCAACAAAAUAUUGGAAACUCAAAUUGGGUAAUUCCCCAGAAACCCAAGAAAAUAUCUCCAAAAAUCUUUUUCUUUUAACAAAAGAAGGAAUGAUAAAAGCAAGAAAAUCAAUGGUGGAUGAACAAGAAUACAUCGAUUAGAACAAAAACCCAAUUAAGAAAUAUAACAGACAAGUUUUUUAAUUUCUUUUAUUUUCUUUUUGGAGGGAGUGGAAAUAAAUAGUGAUGUGUACGUACCUCAGGGUAAGGAGGGAGUG